UACAGAGGUCCCAAGCGUUAUUCGGAUUCACUGGGCGUAAAGGGUGCGCAGGCGGCCGUGUGUGUCAGGUGUGAAAGCCCGGAGCUUAACUCCGGAAUUGCGCCUGAAACUACAUGGCUAGAGCAUUGGAGAGGGUAGCGGAAUUCACGGUGUAGCAGUGAAAUGCGUAGAUAUCGUGAGGAACACCAGAGGCGAAGGCGGCUACCUGGACAAUUGCUGACGCUCAGGCACGAAAGCGUGGGGAGCAAAAGGG
Molecule: ribosomal RNA, 253 nt
Filed under: uncultured bacterium
Lineage: Bacteria
Description: partial 16S ribosomal RNA
Rfam family: Bacterial small subunit ribosomal RNA
Source: RNAcentral